Long non-coding RNA from Amyelois transitella, 292 nucleotides. RefSeq lists it as uncharacterized. The transcript has 2 exons. The record is from RefSeq and is a predicted model, not a curated record. NCBI's taxonomy places the organism in Eukaryota, Metazoa, Arthropoda, Insecta, Lepidoptera, Pyralidae.
CUGUUUCAUUCGGUCUACUAACUAUCGCACUCACACCAUCGAGUCAGUUGCGCGAACGCUUCACGUGUGGCAGGCGUGUUUUAUUUUGUUAUCGUGCAGAAAAUUUUAAAGAAUGUCCGGUUCACAAUCAACCAAACGAAAAACCUGGGAUGAAGAAAAAAUGGCACAAGCUAUAAAAUUCGUCCGGGAAAAGAAAAUGGGGUAUUUGAAAGCGGCACAGCAUUUUCAAGUGCCUAGGAAAAUGAUUUAGAAGAUAAAAAUAUGAAGAGACAAGAAAAAGAAAAUAAACUAG